Molecule: ribosomal RNA, 483 nt
Filed under: uncultured bacterium
Lineage: Bacteria
Description: partial 16S ribosomal RNA
Rfam family: Bacterial small subunit ribosomal RNA
Source: RNAcentral
GACGAACGCUGGCGGCGUGCUUAACACAUGCAAGUCGAACGCUGAAGCUCAGCUUUUGUUGGGUGGAUGAGUGGCGAACGGGUGAGUAACACGUGAGUAACCUGCCCCCUUCUUUGGGAUAACGCCCGGAAACGGGUGCUAAUACUGGAUAUUCACUGGUCUUCGCAUGGGGGUUGGUGGAAAGGGUUUUUCUGGUGGGGGAUGGGCUCGCGGCCUAUCAGCUUGUUGGUGGGGUGAUGGCCUACCAAGGCUUUGACGGGUAGCCGGCCUGAGAGGGUGACCGGUCACAUUGGGACUGAGAUACGGCCCAGACUCCUACGGGAGGCAGCAGUGGGAAAUAUUGCACAAUGGGCGCAAGCCUGAUGCAGCGACGCCGCGUGAGGGAUGGAGGCCUUCGGGUUGUGAACCUCUUUCGCUCAUGGUCAAGCCGCAACAAUGGUUGUGGUGAGGGUAGUGGGUAAAGAAGCGCCGGCUAACUACGUG